AUUUGUGAUGAAAUCUGUGUCAUCAUUAAAAAGCCAACUUUCUGUCACCAAAGCCAAUGAGAUUUUAAGGCAAAAUUUUGUCCCAAAUUGCUUCAUCACAUUGAGCCCCUCUCUCUCUUCGACUCUCUCUUUCACUUCGUCGAGCCAUGCUACCACGCCACCAUGCAACCAUCCCACCGUCGUCGUCACUCCAUGCCAUCAUCAUCAUCAUCGUCACUCCAUGCCACCGUCGUCAUCACUCUGCCACUGUCAUUGUCACUCCACCAUCAUGUGGGUCUGAUCUCUCUCUCCCUCUCUUAUGGUCGAUCUCUUUGCUUCCUCUAGGUCCACCACCAUCACCAUUGCUCCGCAUCCAUCGUCAUCACUCCAUUGAUGCCGUUGUAACUCCAUCGGAUUGCUCUCUCUCCCUCUCUCUCCAGAUCUCAGGUAUAGAUCUCUCUCUAUGAUUCUCUCUCUCUCAGUCCUUCUUCUUAUAGAUCCACCACCAUCACCAUUGCUGUGCCUCCGUCGUCGUCACUCUGCAGUCGCUGCCGUCCGCAUCCAUUACUGUCACUCCAGCACUCUCUCUUUUCCUUUCGAUACCCAUCUCUCUCUCUGUACCUCUCUCUCUCAUGUGUUCUCCAGCCACCCUGCACAGCCAUAGUUGG
This 647-nucleotide long non-coding RNA is filed under the name Elaeis guineensis (African oil palm). RNAcentral describes it as "long non-coding RNA (EGUI_LNC008334)". Lineage: Eukaryota; Viridiplantae; Streptophyta; Magnoliopsida; Arecales; Arecaceae. The record is from RNAcentral.